RNAcentral lists this long non-coding RNA (243 nucleotides) under Elaeis guineensis (African oil palm). RNAcentral describes it as "long non-coding RNA (EGUI_LNC063665)". Lineage: Eukaryota; Viridiplantae; Streptophyta; Magnoliopsida; Arecales; Arecaceae. The record is from RNAcentral.
AAACAAAAGCACAAUCUACUCUCUCCCAAACCCUUGCCAUACCAAAAUGAUUAUUACACCAAGUGCAUUUAGAUCCAGUAUAUGCUAAAUCUAGAAGACCAGUUUGUCUUGAACAAGCUCUAAACUCCCUAAUUUUUUUAUCAACCCUAAAAUGCCUUCCUCCUCUUUUGUCUUCAGGAUUCAAAAUACAAUUAAAAUCUCUAGCUAAAAGGAAAGGAAUACCCAUAGGCACUACAAUUGAAC